GACGUAGGGGGCGAGCGUUGUCCGGAUUUAUUGGGCGUAAAGGGUGCGUAGGCGGCAUGAUAAGUUAUUGGUGGGAAAUCGAGGCUCAACCUCGUGGAAACUAAUAAUACUGUUUUGCUUGAGUACAGGAGAGGUUAACGGAACUCCAUGUGGAGCGGUAAAAUGUGUAGAUAUAUGGAAGAACAUCAAUAACGGCGAAGGCAGUUAACUAUUCUGUUACUGACGUUGAGGCACGAAAGCGUGGGGAGCAAACAGG
RNAcentral lists this ribosomal RNA (256 nucleotides) under uncultured bacterium. RNAcentral describes it as "partial 16S ribosomal RNA". It matches the Rfam family "Bacterial small subunit ribosomal RNA", at positions 524 to 776 of the family's 1533-position model. The record is from RNAcentral.